Molecule: transfer RNA, 72 nt
Filed under: Ovis aries (sheep)
Lineage: Eukaryota; Metazoa; Chordata; Mammalia; Artiodactyla; Bovidae
Rfam family: tRNA
About the family: Transfer RNA (tRNA) molecules are approximately 80 nucleotides in length. Their secondary structure includes four short double-helical elements and three loops (D, anti-codon, and T loops). Further hydrogen bonds mediate the characteristic L-shaped molecular structure. tRNAs have two regions of fundamental functional importance: the anti-codon, which is responsible for specific mRNA codon recognition, and the 3' end, to which the tRNAs corresponding amino acid is attached (by aminoacyl-tRNA synthetases). tRNAs cope with the degeneracy of the genetic code in two manners: having more than one tRNA (with a specific anti-codon) for a particular amino acid; and 'wobble' base-pairing, i.e. permitting non-standard base-pairing at the 3rd anti-codon position.
Source: Rfam by way of RNAcentral
UCCCUGGUGGCUCAGUGGGUAAAGAAUCUGCCUGCAACACAGAAGACCUAGGUUCAAUCCCUGGAUUGGGAA